GGGUUGUGAGGUUAAGCGACUAAGCGUACACGGUGGAUGCCCUGGCAGUCAGAGGCGAUGAAGGACGUGCUAAUCUGCGAAAAGCGUCGGUAAGGUGAUAUGAACCGUUACAGCCGGCGAUGUCCGAAUGGGGAAACCCAGUGUGAUUCGUCACACUAUCGUUAACUGAAUACAUAGGUUAACGAGGCGAACCGGGGGAACUGAAACAUCUAAGUACCCCGAGGAAAAGAAAUCAACCGAGAUUCCCCCAGUAGCGGCGAGCGAACGGGGAGCAGCCCAGAGUCUGAAUCAGCUUGUGUGUUAGUGGAACGGUCUGGAAAGUCCGACGGUACAGGGUGAUAGUCCCGUACACCAAAAUGCACAGGCUGUGAACUCGAAGAGUAGGGCGGGACACGUGGUAUCCUGUCUGAAUAUGGGGGGACCAUCCUCCAAGGCUAAAUACUCCUGACUGACCGAUAGUGAACCAGUACCGUGAGGGAAAGGCGAAAAGAACCCCGGCGAGGGGAGUGAAAAAGAACCUGAAACCGUGUACGUACAAGCAGUGGGAGCACCUUCGGGUGUGACUGCGUACCUUUUGUAUAAUGGGUCAGCGACUUAUAUUCUGUAGCAAGGUUAACCGUAUAGGGGAGCCGCAGGGAAACCGAGUCUUAACUGGGCGUUAAGUUGCAGGGUAUAGACCCGAAACCCGGUGAUCUAGCCAUGGGCAGGUUGAAGGUUGGGUAACACUAACUGGAGGACCGAACCGACUAAUGUUGAAAAAUUAGCGGAUGACUUGUGGCUGGGGGUGAAAGGCCAAUCAAACCGGGAGAUAGCUGGUUCUCCCCGAAAGCUAUUUAGGUAGCGCCUCGUGAAUUCAUCUUCGGGGGUAGAGCACUGUUUCGGCUAGGGGGUCAUCCCGACUUACCAACCCGAUGCAAACUACGAAUACCGAAGAAUGUUAUCACGGGAGACACACGGCGGGUGCUAACGUCCGUCGUGAAGAGGGAAACAACCCAGACCGCCAGCUAAGGUCCCAAAGUCACAGUUAAGUGGGAAACGAUGUGGGAAGGCACAGACAGCCAGGAUGUUGGCUUAGAAGCAGCCAUCAUUUAAAGAAAGCGUAAUAGCUCACUGGUCGAGUCGGCCUGCGCGGAAGAUGUAACGGGGCUAAACUGUGCACCGAAGCUGCGGCAGCGACACUAUGUGUUGUUGGGUAGGGGAGCGUUCUGUAAGCCUGCGAAGGUGGCCUGUGAGGGUUGCUGGAGGUAUCAGAAGUGCGAAUGCUGACAUAAGUAACGAUAAUGCGGGUGAAAAGCCCGCACGCCGGAAGACCAAGGGUUCCUGUCCAACGUUAAUCGGGGCAGGGUGAGUCGACCCCUAAGGCGAGGCCGAAAGGCGUAGUCGAUGGGAAACAGGUUAAUAUUCCUGUACUUGGUGUUACUGCGAAGGGGGACGGAGAAGGCUAUGUUAGCCGGGCGACGGUUGUCCCGGUUUAAGCAUGUAGGCGGAGGUUCCAGGUAAAUCCGGUACCUUUUUAACGCUGAGGUGUGAUGACGAGGCACUACGGUGCUGAAGUAACAAAUGCCCUGCUUCCAGGAAAAGCCUCUAAGCAUCAGGUAACAUUGAAUCGUACCCCAAACCGACACAGGUGGUCAGGUAGAGAAUACCAAGGCGCUUGAGAGAACUCGGGUGAAGGAACUAGGCAAAAUGGUGCCGUAACUUCGGGAGAAGGCACGCUGAUAUGUAGGUGAAGCCCCUGCGGGUGGAGCUGAAAUCAGUCGAAGAUACCAGCUGGCUGCAACUGUUUAUUAAAACACAGCACUGUGCAAACACGAAAGUGGACGUAUACGGUGUGACGCCUGCCCGGUGCCGGAAGGUUAAUUGAUGGGGUUAUCCGUAAGGAGAAGCUCUUGAUCGAAGCCCCGGUAAACGGCGGCCGUAACUAUAACGGUCCUAAGGUAGCGAAAUUCCUUGUCGGGUAAGUUCCGACCUGCACGAAUGGCGUAAUGAUGGCCAGGCUGUCUCCACCCGAGACUCAGUGAAAUUGAACUCGCUGUGAAGAUGCAGUGUACCCGCGGCAAGACGGAAAGACCCCGUGAACCUUUACUAUAGCUUGACACUGAACAUUGAGCCUUGAUGUGUAGGAUAGGUGGGAGGCUUUGAAGCGUGGACGCCAGUCUGCGUGGAGCCAACCUUGAAAUACCACCCUUUAAUGUUUGAUGUUCUAACGUUGGCCCCUUAUCGGGGUUGCGGACAGUGUCUGGUGGGUAGUUUGACUGGGGCGGUCUCCUCCCAAAGAGUAACGGAGGAGCACGAAGGUUAGCUAAUCCUGGUCGGACAUCAGGAGGUUAGUGCAAUGGCAUAAGCUAGCUUGACUGCGAGCGUGACGGCGCGAGCAGGUGCGAAAGCAGGUCAUAGUGAUCCGGUGGUUCUGAAUGGAAGGGCCAUCGCUCAACGGAUAAAAGGUACUCCGGGAUAACAGGCUGAUACCGCCCAAGAGUUCAUAUCGACGGCGGUGUUUGGCACCUCGAUGUCGGCUCAUCACAUCCUGGGGCUGAAGUAGGUCCCAAGGGUAUGGCUGUUCGCCAUUUAAAGUGGUACGCGAGCUGGGUUUAGAACGUCGUGAGACAGUUCGGUCCCUAUCUGCCGUGGGCGCUGGAGAAUUGAGGGGGGCUGCUCCUAGUACGAGAGGACCGGAGUGGACGCAUCACUGGUGUUCGGGUUGUCAUGCCAAUGGCAUUGCCCGGUAGCUAAAUGCGGAAGAGAUAAGUGCUGAAAGCAUCUAAGCACGAAACUUGCCCCGAGAUGAGUUCUCCCUGACUCCUUGAGAGUCCUGAAGGAACGUUAAAGACGAUGACGUUGAUAGGUCGGGUGUGUAAGCGUAGCGAUACGUUGAGCUAACCGAUACUAAUGAACCGUGAGGCUUAACCUUACAACGCCGAAGGUGUUU
RNAcentral lists this ribosomal RNA (2929 nucleotides) under Klebsiella aerogenes. RNAcentral's name for it is "bacterial LSU rRNA". It matches the Rfam family "Bacterial large subunit ribosomal RNA". Lineage: Bacteria; Pseudomonadati; Pseudomonadota; Gammaproteobacteria; Enterobacterales; Enterobacteriaceae. The record is from RNAcentral.